AGUCGAGGGGUAUAGUUCUUCGGAAUUAGAGACCGGCGCACGGGUGCGUAACGCGUAUGCAAUCUACCUUUUGCAGAGGGAUAGCCCAGAGAAAUUUGGAUUAAUACCUCAUAGUAUAGCAGUUUCGCAUGAAACCACUAUUAAAGUCACAACGGCAAAAGAUGAGCAUGCGUCCCAUUAGCUAGUUGGUAAGGUAACGGCUUACCAAGGCUACGAUGGGUAGGGGUCCUGAGAGGGAGAUCCCCCACACUGGUACUGAGACACGGACCAGACUCCUACGGGAGGCAGCAGUGAGGAAUAUUGGACAAUGGGCGCAAGCCUGAUCCAGCCAUGCCGCGUGCAGGAUGACGGUCCUAUGGAUUGUAAACUGCUUUUGUACAGGAAGAAACACUCCCUCGUGAGGGAGCUUGACGGUACUGUAAGAAUAAGGAUCGGCUAACUCCGUGCCAGCAGCCGCGGUAAUACGGAGGAUCCAAGCGUUAUCCGGAAUCAUUGGGUUUAAAGGGUCCGUAGGCGGUUUAGUAAGUCAGUGGUGAAAGCCCAUCGCUCAACGGUGGAACGGCCAUUGAUACUGCUAGACUUGAAUUAUUAGGAAGUAACUAGAAUAUGUAGUGUAGCGGUGAAAUGCUUAGAGAUUACAUGGAAUACCAAUUGCGAAGGCAGGUUACUACUAAUGGAUUGACGCUGAUGG
RNAcentral lists this ribosomal RNA (691 nucleotides) under Flavobacterium sp. S176.08.SCU.W.Gill.N. Its description in RNAcentral is "bacterial SSU rRNA". It matches the Rfam family "Bacterial small subunit ribosomal RNA", at positions 60 to 752 of the family's 1533-position model. RNAcentral also lists the same sequence under 1 other name. The record is from RNAcentral. Lineage: Bacteria; Pseudomonadati; Bacteroidota; Flavobacteriia; Flavobacteriales; Flavobacteriaceae.